This 482-nucleotide ribosomal RNA is filed under the name uncultured bacterium. Its description in RNAcentral is "partial 16S ribosomal RNA". It matches the Rfam family "Bacterial small subunit ribosomal RNA", at positions 30 to 507 of the family's 1533-position model. The record is from RNAcentral.
AUUGAACGCUGGCGGCAUGCCUUACACAUGCAAGUCGAACGGUAACGGGCCUUCGGGUGCCGACGAGUGGCGAACGGGUGAGUAAUACAUCGGAACGUGCCCGAUCGUGGGGGAUAACGAGGCGAAAGCUUUGCUAAUACCGCAUACGAUCUACGGAUGAAAGCAGGGGACCGCAAGGCUUUGCGCGGACGGAGCGGCCGCUGGCAGAUUAGGUAGUUGGUGGGAUAAAAGCUUACCAAGCCGACGAUCUGUAGCUGGUCUGAGAGGAUGAUCAGCCACACUGGGACUGAGACACGGCCCAGACUCCUACGGGAGGCAGCAGUGGGGAAUUUUGGACAAUGGGCGCAAGCCUGAUCCAGCCAUGCCGCGUGCAGGAUGAAGGCCUUCGGGUUGUAAACUGCUUUUGUACGGAACGAAAAGCCUUCUUUUAAUACAGGAGGGUCAUGACGGUACCGUAAGAAUAAGCACCGGCUAACUACGUG